This 417-nucleotide ribosomal RNA is filed under the name uncultured bacterium. RNAcentral describes it as "bacterial SSU rRNA". It matches the Rfam family "Bacterial small subunit ribosomal RNA", at positions 355 to 787 of the family's 1533-position model. The record is from RNAcentral.
UAGGGAAUAUUGCACAAUGGGGAAAGCCCUGAUGCAGCGACGCCGCGUGAAGGAAGAAGUAUCUCGGUAUGUAAACUUCUAUCAGCAGGGAAGACAAUGACGGUACCUGACUAAGAAGCCCCGGCUAACUACGUGCCAGCAGCCGCGGUAAUACGUAGGGGGCAAGCGUUAUCCGGAUUUACUGGGUGUAAAGGGAGCGUAGACGGCAUGGCAAGUCUGAAGUGAAAGCCCGGGGCUCAACCCCGGGCACUGCUUUGGAAAUCUGUCAGGCUAGAGUGCUGGAGAGGUAAGUGGAAUUCCUAGUGUAGCGGUGAAAUGCGUAGAUAUUAGGAGGAACACCAGUGGCGAAGGCGGCUUACUGGACAGUGACUGACGUUGAGGCUCGAAAGCGUGGGGAGCAAACAGGAUUAGAUACCC